GGACUACAAGGGUUUCUAAUCCCGUUUGCUCCCCUGGCUUUCGCGCCUCAGCGUCAGAAAGGGUCCAGCACGCCGCUUUCGCCACCGGCGUUCCUUCGGAUAUCUACGCAUUUCACCGCUCCACCCGAAGUUCCGCAUGCCCCUACCCCCCUCGAGACUGCCAGUAUCGGAGGCCGUCUUCCGGUUGAGCCGAAAGAUUUCACCACCGACUUGACAGCCCGCCUACGCGCCCUUUAAGCCCAGUGAAUCCGAACAACGUUCGCACGGUUCGUCUUACCGCGGCUGCUGGCAC
Molecule: ribosomal RNA, 292 nt
Filed under: uncultured Planctomycetota bacterium
Lineage: Bacteria; Pseudomonadati; Planctomycetota
Description: uncultured planctomycete partial 16S ribosomal RNA
Source: RNAcentral